Molecule: ribosomal RNA, 451 nt
Filed under: uncultured bacterium
Lineage: Bacteria
Description: partial 16S ribosomal RNA
Rfam family: Bacterial small subunit ribosomal RNA
Source: RNAcentral
GAUGAAUGCUGGCGGCGUGCCUAACGCAUGCAAGUCGAGCGGCAGCGAGGGGUGCUUGCACCCUGUCGGCGAGCGGCGAACGGCUGAGUAACGCGUAGGAAUUUGCCCCAAAGUGAGGAAUAACUGCCCGAAAGGGUAGCUAAUGCCGCAUAUGGUCUUCGGAUUAAAGGAUUUAUCCGCUUUGGGAGAAGCCUGCGUUGGAUUAGGUUGUUGGUAGGGUAAUGGCCUACCAAGCCGACGAUCCAUAGCUGGUCUGAGAGGAUGAUCAGCCAGACUGGAACUGAGACACGGUCCAGACUCCUACGGGAGGCAGCAGUGAGGAAUCUUCCACAAUGGGCGAAAGCCUGAUGGAGCAACGCCGCGUGAAGGAUGAAGGCCUUCGGGUUGUAAACUUCUUUUAUGAGUGAAGAAUAUGACGGUAACUCAUGAAUAAGCACCGGCUAACUACGUG